GUACUGGAAAAACUCACUUUAAUGGCAUCACAAGCAAAAAUAUUCUCUUACAUGAUUCGGAGAAAGAGAAGAUUCUUCUCCAUGGAUCUACAAUAGAGAAGCAUUAUGAAAAUUCAUUGUGGUGAGCAUCAGACUCCAUCUUUAUGCCAAAGGUUAUCUAGGUGGUUGCACAAGACAAAGAGGUGCUUCCUUGUGGCUACUUGGGACCAGCCAUUGAGGGUGAACACAUGCAGAUAUGAUGAUGCCAACCUUGUCGACAGAGUUCUUACCUCGAGGCAGACCUCCUGGAUGUCUGUUUUGGACUGGUAGUUUUGACAGUGGUGGAUAUGUAAUCAUCUAAUGAUGCAUACACUGCCCUUCUUUUCUGCUUCUUUCUUUUGGGGGUGAACACAUGCAGAUAUGAUGAUGCCAACCUUGUCGACAGAGUUCUUACCUGGAGACAGACCUCCUGGAAAUGCUCACUUUUGACUACAUUCGGUAAUGAUACUGUAUACUUUGCUCUA
Long non-coding RNA from Musa acuminata subsp. malaccensis (wild Malaysian banana), 503 nucleotides. RefSeq lists it as uncharacterized. The record is from RefSeq and is a predicted model, not a curated record. Lineage: Eukaryota; Viridiplantae; Streptophyta; Magnoliopsida; Zingiberales; Musaceae.